This 198-nucleotide ribosomal RNA is filed under the name uncultured bacterium. RNAcentral's name for it is "partial 16S ribosomal RNA". It matches the Rfam family "Bacterial small subunit ribosomal RNA", at positions 1292 to 1500 of the family's 1533-position model. The record is from RNAcentral.
UUCGGAUUGUAGGCUGCAGCUCGCCUACAUGAAGUCGGAGUUGCUAGUAAUCGCGGAUCAGAAUGCCGCGGUGAAUGCGUUCCCGGGUCUUGUACACACCGCCCGUCACACCAUGGAAGUUGGGGCGCCCGAAGUUGGUCGAGGAAUAGAUUACCUAAGGCGAAACCAAUGACUGGGGUGAAGUCGUAACAAGGUAGC